RNAcentral lists this ribosomal RNA (476 nucleotides) under uncultured bacterium. RNAcentral describes it as "bacterial SSU rRNA". It matches the Rfam family "Bacterial small subunit ribosomal RNA", at positions 28 to 507 of the family's 1533-position model. The record is from RNAcentral.
GAUGAACGCUAGCGGGAGGCCUAACACAUGCAAGCCGAGCGGUAUUGUUUCUUCGGAAAUGAGAGAGCGGCGUACGGGUGCGGAACACGUGUGCAACCUGCCUUUAUCUGGGGGAUAGCCUUUCGAAAGGAAGAUUAAUACUCCAUAAUAUAUUGAACGGCAUCGUUUGAUAUUGAAAGCUCCGGCGGAUAGAGAUGGGCACGCGCAAGAUUAGCUAGUUGGUGAGGUAACGGCUCACCAAGGCAAUGAUCUUUAGGGGGCCUGAGAGGUGAUCCCCCACACUGGUACUGAGACACGGACCAGACUCCUACGGGAGGCAGCAGUGAGGAAUAUUGGUCAAUGGGUGCAAGCCUGAACCAGCCAUCCCGCGUGCAGGAAGACGGUCCUAUGGAUUGUAAACUGCUUUUAUACAGGAAGAAACCCUCCACGUGUGGAGCUUGACGGUACUGUAGGAAUAAGGAUCGGCUAACUCCGUG